RNAcentral lists this long non-coding RNA (378 nucleotides) under Homo sapiens (human). RNAcentral describes it as "non-protein coding lnc-TEKT4-20:1". The record is from RNAcentral. Lineage: Eukaryota; Metazoa; Chordata; Mammalia; Primates; Hominidae.
GUAUCAUAGAGCAGUUGUGAUGUUUGCAUUCAAGUCACAGAGUUGAACAUUCCCUUUCACAGAGCAGGUUUGAAACACUCUUUUUGUAAUAUCUGGAUGUGGACAUUUGGAGCGCUUUCAGUCCUAUGUGCAUUCAAGUCACAGAGUUGAACAUUCCCUUUCAUAGAGCAGGUGGAUAUUUGUCUAGCUUUGAGGAUUUCGAGGAUAUUUGGAUAGCUUUGAGGAUUUCGUUUGAAACACUCUUUUUGUAGUAUCUGGAAGUGGACAUUGAGAGCGCUCUCAGGGUUUGAAACACUCUUUUUGUAGUAUCUGGAAGUGGAUUUUGAAACACUCUUUUUGUGGAAUCUGCAAGUGGAUAUUUGUCUAGAUUUGAGGAUU